CAGUCGACGAACUCUGGUAUUGAUUGGUGCUUGCAUCAUGAUUUACAUUUGAGUGAGUGGCGAACUGGUGAGUAACACGUGGGAAACCUGCCCAGAAGCGGGGGAUAACACCUGGAAACAGAUGCUAAUACCGCAUAACAACUUGGACCGCAUGGUCCGAGCUUGAAAGAUGGCUUCGGCUAUCACUUUUGGAUGGUCCCGCGGCGUAUUAGCUAGAUGGUGGGGUAACGGCUCACCAUGGCAAUGAUACGUAGCCGACCUGAGAGGGUAAUCGGCCACAUUGGGACUGAGACACGGCCCAAACUCCUACGGGAGGCAGCAGUAGGGAAUCUUCCACAAUGGACGAAAGUCUGAUGGAGCAACGCCGCGUGAGUGAAGAAGGGUUUCGGCUCGUAAAACUCUGUUGUUAAAGAAGAACAUAUCUGAGAGUAACUGUUCAGGUAUUGACGGUAUUUAACCAGAAAGCCACGGCUAACUACGUGCCAGCAGCCGCGGUAAUACGUAGGUGGCAAGCGUUGUCCGGAUUUAUUGGGCGUAAAGCGAGCGCAGGCGGUUUUUUAAGUCUGAUGUGAAAGCCUUCGGCUCAACCGAAGAAGUGCAUCGGAAACUGGGAAACUUGAGUGCAGAAGAGGACAGUGGAACUCCAUGUGUAGCGGUGAAAUGCGUAGAUAUAUGGAAGAACACCAGUGGCGAAGGCGGCUGUCUGGUCUGUAACUGACGCUGAGGCUCGAAAGUAUGGGUAGCAAACAGGAUUAGAUACCCUGGUAGUCCAUACCGUAAACGAUGAAUGCUAAGUGUUGGAGGGUUUCCGCCCUUCAGUGCUGCAGCUAACGCAUUAAGCAUUCCGCCUGGGGAGUACGGCCGCAAGGCUGAAACUCAAAGGAAUUGACGGGGGCCCGCACAAGCGGUGGAGCAUGUGGUUUAAUUCGAAGCUACGCGAAGAACCUUACCAGGUCUUGACAUACUAUGCAAAUCUAAGAGAUUAGACGUUCCCUUCGGGGACAUGGAUACAGGUGGUGCAUGGUUGUCGUCAGCUCGUGUCGUGAGAUGUUGGGUUAAGUCCCGCAACGAGCGCAACCCUUAUUAUCAGUUGCCAGCAUUAAGUUGGGCACUCUGGUGAGACUGCCGGUGACAAACCGGAGGAAGGUGGGGAUGACGUCAAAUCAUCAUGCCCCUUAUGACCUGGGCUACACACGUGCUACAAUGGAUGGUACAACGAGUUGCGAACUCGCGAGAGUAAGCUAAUCUCUUAAAGCCAUUCUCAGUUCGGAUUGUAGGCUGCAACUCGCCUACAUGAAGUCGGAAUCGCUAGUAAUCGCGGAUCAGCAUGCCGCGGUGAAUACGUUCCCGGGCCUUGUACACACCGCCCGUCACACCAUGAGAGUUUGUAACACCCAAAGUCGG
RNAcentral lists this ribosomal RNA (1404 nucleotides) under Lactiplantibacillus plantarum. RNAcentral describes it as "bacterial SSU rRNA". It matches the Rfam family "Bacterial small subunit ribosomal RNA", at positions 59 to 1430 of the family's 1533-position model. The record is from RNAcentral. Lineage: Bacteria; Bacillati; Bacillota; Bacilli; Lactobacillales; Lactobacillaceae.